UUUUAGAAAAUUCCGAAAAAAUUCUCAAAACUUUUAAUUGACGUCAUUAGAUUAAUUUCGGUGUUAGUUGAUUUUUCUAAAUUUAUUUUAAUCGUUUUCCUUCAUUGUGUUUGUUUUGGACUAUGGCUGACCAAAGAACUUUAAGGCAGUUAGCUGUCCCUAAUGUGAAUUAUAAUGGCAUGUGUAUUGAAUAUCCUGAAGCUGACACUCCUUUUGAACUAAAAUCUGGUUUGAUACACUUGUU
Molecule: long non-coding RNA, 244 nt
Filed under: Lathyrus oleraceus (garden pea)
Lineage: Eukaryota; Viridiplantae; Streptophyta; Magnoliopsida; Fabales; Fabaceae
Description: Pisum sativum (pea) long non-coding RNA (PSAT_LNC028637)
Source: RNAcentral